AGUGGCGGACGGGUGAGUAACGCGUGGGUAACCUGCCUCAUACAGGGGAUAACAGUUAGAAAUGACUGCUAAUACCGCAUAAGACCACAGCACCGCAUGGUGUAGGGGUAAAAACUCCGGUGGUAUGAGAUGGACCCGCGUCUGAUUAGGUAGUUGGUGGGUAACGGCCUACCAAGCCGACGAUCAGUAGCCGACCUGAGAGGGUGACCGGCCACAUUGGGACUGAGACACGGCCCAA
RNAcentral lists this ribosomal RNA (238 nucleotides) under uncultured bacterium. Its description in RNAcentral is "partial 16S ribosomal RNA". It matches the Rfam family "Bacterial small subunit ribosomal RNA", at positions 94 to 334 of the family's 1533-position model. The record is from RNAcentral.